CCUACGGGAGGCAGCAGUGGGGGAUAUUGCACAAUGGGGGGAACCCUGAUGCAGCGACGCCGCGUGGGCGAUGGAGUGCUUCGGCAUGUAAAGCCCUAUCAGCAGGGAAGAAAAUGACGGUACCUGACUAAGAAGCCCCGGCUAAAUACGUGCCAGCAGCCGCGGUAAUACGUAUGGGGCAAGCGUUAUCCGGAUUUACUGGGUGUAAAGGGAGCGUAGACGGCGAGGUAAGCCUGAAGUGGAAGCCCGCGGCCCAACCGCGGAACUGCUUUGGGAACUGCUUUGCUGGAGUAUGGGAGGGGUAA
Molecule: ribosomal RNA, 305 nt
Filed under: uncultured bacterium
Lineage: Bacteria
Description: bacterial SSU rRNA
Rfam family: Bacterial small subunit ribosomal RNA
Source: RNAcentral